Molecule: ribosomal RNA, 253 nt
Filed under: uncultured bacterium
Lineage: Bacteria
Description: partial 16S ribosomal RNA
Rfam family: Bacterial small subunit ribosomal RNA
Source: RNAcentral
UACGGGGGGGGCAAGCGUUGUCCGGAAUUAUUGGGCGUAAAGAGCUCGUAGGCGGUCUGUUGCGUCGGCUGUGAAAACCCGGGGCUCAACCCCGGGCCUGCAGCCGAUACGGGCAGACUAGAGUUCGGCAGGGGAGACUGGAAUUCCUGGUGUAGCGGUGAAAUGCGCAGAUAUCAGGAGGAACACCGGUGGCGAAGGCGGGUCUCUGGGCCGAUACUGACGCUGAGGAGCGAAAGCGUGGGGAGCGAACAGG